RNAcentral lists this ribosomal RNA (412 nucleotides) under uncultured bacterium. RNAcentral's name for it is "bacterial SSU rRNA". It matches the Rfam family "Bacterial small subunit ribosomal RNA", at positions 362 to 771 of the family's 1533-position model. The record is from RNAcentral.
UAUUGGUCAAUGGGCGGGAGCCUGCACCAGCCAAGUCGCGUGAGGGAUUAAGGCCCUACGGGUCGUAAACCUCUUUUGCCGGGGAGCAGGGCGGCGGACGUGUCCGCCGUUUGAGAGUACCCGGAGAAAAAGCAUCGGCUAACUCCGUGCCAGCAGCCGCGGUAAUACGGAGGAUGCGAGCGUUAUCCGGAUUUAUUGGGUUUAAAGGGUGCGUACGCAGGCUUUUAAGUCAGCGGUAAAAAUACGGGGCUCAACCCCGUCCAGCCGUUGAAACUGGGGGCCUUGAGUGGGAGAGAAGAAGGCAGAAUGCGUGGUGUAGCGGUGAAAUGCAUAGAUAUCACGCAGAACCCCGAUUGCGAAGGCAGCCUUCCGGCGCCCUACUGACGCUGAGGCACGAAAGUGCGGGGAUCGA